Molecule: ribosomal RNA, 478 nt
Filed under: uncultured organism
Description: partial 16S ribosomal RNA
Rfam family: Bacterial small subunit ribosomal RNA
Source: RNAcentral
CGUACACUCCUACGGGAGGCAGCAGUGGGGAAUUUUGGACAAUGGGCGCAAGCCUGAUCCAGCCAUGCCGCGUGCGGGAAGAAGGCCUUCGGGUUGUAAACCGCUUUUGUCAGGGAAGAAAAGGUUCUGGCUAAUACCUGGGACUCAUGACGGUACCUGAAGAAUAAGCACCGGCUAACUACGUGCCAGCAGCCGCGGUAAUACGUAGGGUGCAAGCGUUAAUCGGAAUUACUGGGCGUAAAGCGUGCGCAGGCGGUUAUGCAAGACAGAGGUGAAAUCCCCGGGCUCAACCUGGGAACUGCCUUUGUGACUGCAUGGCUAGAGUACGGUAGAGGGGGAUGGAAUUCCGCGUGUAGCAGUGAAAUGCGUAGAUAUGCGGAGGAACACCGAUGGCGAAGGCAAUCCCCUGGACCUGUACUGACGCUCAUGCACGAAAGCGUGGGGAGCAAACAGGAUUAGAAACCCCAGUAGUCCCAUG